This 460-nucleotide ribosomal RNA is filed under the name uncultured bacterium. RNAcentral describes it as "partial 16S ribosomal RNA". It matches the Rfam family "Bacterial small subunit ribosomal RNA", at positions 338 to 795 of the family's 1533-position model. The record is from RNAcentral.
CCUACGGGAGGCUGCAGUAAGGAAUAUUGGGCAAUGGACGAGAGUCUGAACCAGCCACGUAGCGUGAAGGAUGACUGCCCUAUGGGUUGUAAACUUCUUUUAUAUGGGAAUAAAAUGUUCCACGUGUGGGAUUUUGUAUGUACCAUAUGAAUAAGGAUCGGCUAACUCCGUGCCAGCAGCCGCGGUAAUACGGAGGAUCCGAGCGUUAUCCGGAUUUAUUGGGUUUAAAGGGAGCGUAGGUGGAUUGUUAAGUCAGUUGUGAAAGUUUGCGGCUCAACCGUACAAUUGCAGUUGAAACUGGCAGUCUUGAGUACAGUAGAGGUGGGCGGAAUUCGUGGUGUAGCGGUGAAAUGCUUAGAUAUCACGAAGAACUCCGAUUGCGAAGGCAGUUCACUGGACUGCAACUGACACUGAGGCUCGAAAGUGUGGGUAUCAAACAGGAUUAGAUACCCGGGUAGUC